AAAUUAAGAUAAGAUAUUUAAAAAAAAUCUUUUUAAGCAUUCUUCAUUGAAACAAUUGGUGAUUGACCAAUCCAUCUCUGACUUGGUAAAGACACUUUUUAAAGGAAAGUGUCAGAGUUAUCUGUCACAUGAACAUACUUUUUGACCGACCUGUAAAUUCUGGACUUAUGAUAAAAUUAUUAAGGGAUGUUCAGUCUAUCAGUCAGUAUCAAGACAUUUUCACUGUGAUUACAUUAUGGAAAGUGACUAAACAAAUCUUAAUUACUUCUUAAGGAAAUGUCUGACUGCCUUUUUAAAUACUGCAAAGAAAAUGUUUGAACAAAUCCUGAGAUCUAAACAAUACAGAACAGUAAUUUAAAGACAUUUCAUAUUCCCUAUUACAGGACCUACUUAUUGUAUUUAUUGUUAAUUAGUUCUUAUACUGAAUAUGCAUGACAUAUUUGCCACUGGAAAUUAAUCAGCCAACAAUCAAUCAAUCACAUUAAGUAACAAGGUUAUAAUUUUGAAUUAAAGUUAUGCUAAGUGAUAUAACAAACCAGUACAAGUUGCACUGUAGAAAUGUUUAGAAAACUUCUGACAAUCUGCUUAGCUAUGGCAACCAUAGUAAUGAAAUGAAAUUGUUGUGAUGUAAUGCUACAUUUGAACAAUUUGAUACUUAAGCUCCCUUUCUUGUUUAUUAUUUUUCAGAAUAAAGUUUCAUGAAUUUCAAAGAUACUUUCUUAUGUUUACUGGAGAGGUUCAGUUGAGUAGUUAGCAAUAGAUGAAGUGUUAUCAAAAAUUUGAAGACUGGAAUAGGGUGUAUGGAGGCUGCUAAAAACUAAAACUUGUGCAAUGAAAACCCAUUUUCAAGAGAAACAAUACAUACUGACUUUUGAACAAGGAUUUUUGAAAACUAAAUGUUUUGUCAAUCAGUCAUAUAUACAUUAUCACUGAUUGGUGUAGAAUCACUGUAUGAUCAAAAUGCACAAUGAAACUGUACAAUUCAUAAAUUAAGGAAGUCUGGCAACUUUAAUGUCAUCAAAAGAUACCAAUUUUAUAAUAAAAGGGAGAUACUCUAUUUAACAACACAGUCUCAAGUCUUAUCAGAGGUGUUCAAACCUCAAUCAACUCCAAAACUCAUGCAGUAAUGAAGAAUUUCUGAUCUUUCAUUUUUGUUUUAUACUGACUUUAAAAGAAACUUGUAAAACACGAGACACUUAUCCAUCAUAAUACAACAAAUGAAGUUUUAAACAACUUCACAUACCCAUAUGGCUACAGAGCAAAAAAUUUACUCAAAAAAGGACAACCUAAUGUUCUGAUUUAAGGCACAAGUGUUUUGAUGAAAUGGAGCUACAUUGCUAUCUAGUUACUGUGGUUUUGCUGAAAUAUGUGUGGUCUUCUGUUGUUUUUUUAUGCCCCACCUAUGAUAGAAGAGGGGCAUUAUUUUUUUCGGUCUGUGUGUCCGUUUGUUUGUCCAUCCGUCUGUCCCACUUCAGGUUAAAGUUUUUGGUCUAGGUAGUUUUUGAUGAAGUUGAAGUCCAAUCAACUUAAAACUUAAUACACAUAUUUCCUAUGAUAUGAUCUUUCUAAUUUUAAAGCCAAAUUAGAGUUUUGGCCCCAAUUUCACGGUCCACUGAACAUAGAAGAUGAUAGUGCGAGUGGGACAUCCGUGUACUAUGGACACAUUCUUGUUUAACAUUCUUAAACUGUUUUCAUUGCAUACUUAAGUCUAUUGUAAAUAUGAUUAAAAUCUAUAAAAUAUUUUUUCAGAUUAAACUACAACAGCUUCUGAUGAGACAAAAAUUGAUUUUUAGGUUCAGAUUACUACAGGAUAGUUGCCAUGUUGUACUGCAAAAGCUUUUGAUGAGACAGUAUUAGAAAUUGAUUUUUAUGUUCAGAUUACAACACGAUGGUUGCCAUAAUCUAAUGCAUAAUGGUUUACUGGUUGACAUUUUGAAAGGCGAACAACAAAACAUGACCAAAAUGUUACCACUGUCCAAAACAGUGCCAACGAAUAAAGAAAGAAGAAACCAUAAGAUGUAACAAGAUUUAUUAUUAACUUUUGUCAAUAUAAAGUUUUCUUCAACAAAGAAAAAGAAGAGCAUGACAGACUAUAAUAAAUAUGAUGAUAAUAUAAUUAUCUCUAGUAUCACAAAACAGACAGAAAUAAUAAGCUUUAGACUUCUAUAUAUACCCCUCUGAAGAAGUCUCUGAGGAAUAUAGUUAUGGUACUGGUCAAGUAAAUUAAAACAAUCAGCUGGAAACAGAAGAAAUAAUGAGCUACAGUCAAUUAAACAAAUGAGCAAGACAGAAAAUAAUAAACAUUGUAAAGAAAAGUGUUGAUGAUAGAAAAUAGUCUCUGGCAUCAAUCAACAGACAAAACUCAUGGAAUCUUGAUAGUGCUCCCACCUCAAUUUAUUUAAUAACUCCAGCUAAUACUCACUAUGGCUGGCCAGGAUGUAAUGUGAUGAUUUGUUGUGAAGGCUUUUAAGCUACUAAGGAGAAGGGCAUGGUACAAAAAACGUCUACAAUAGGGCAGGUAGUCAUAGAAAUUGGAACAUGGUGCUGCACUCACCUAUAACUUCAUGUAGGAAACACCAAAUUAAGCCUCAUAUAAGAUUUACAUAAGAAAUUGUGCCAGUUAGGAGGAUAUCUCUUAACCUUGUUGAUUAAAGAAACGCUGAAUUUUAGUCAGACACAAGACCAGUAAGGAGGAUAUCCCUUAACAGUGUAGAUUGGAAGAAUGAUUGAAUGUUACUGAGAAUGUAGAUUGAUAUUCUAUGAAGAUUCCACACAUUAAAAAAAAAACCUUUAUUUUGUUAUUUUAUUACUUUGUAUCAAAAAUAAAUUAGCACAAUGUUGAA
Long non-coding RNA from Mytilus californianus (California mussel), 2843 nucleotides. RefSeq lists it as uncharacterized. The transcript has 9 exons. The record is from RefSeq and is a predicted model, not a curated record. NCBI's taxonomy places the organism in Eukaryota, Metazoa, Mollusca, Bivalvia, Mytilida, Mytilidae.